GGCCAGUUAGCUCAGCUGGUUGAGCUUGGUACUGAUAACACCAAGGUCACGGGUUCGAUUCUCAUUCAGUCCG
RNAcentral lists this transfer RNA (73 nucleotides) under Apaloderma vittatum (bar-tailed trogon). It matches the Rfam family "tRNA". Rfam says of the family: Transfer RNA (tRNA) molecules are approximately 80 nucleotides in length. Their secondary structure includes four short double-helical elements and three loops (D, anti-codon, and T loops). Further hydrogen bonds mediate the characteristic L-shaped molecular structure. tRNAs have two regions of fundamental functional importance: the anti-codon, which is responsible for specific mRNA codon recognition, and the 3' end, to which the tRNAs corresponding amino acid is attached (by aminoacyl-tRNA synthetases). tRNAs cope with the degeneracy of the genetic code in two manners: having more than one tRNA (with a specific anti-codon) for a particular amino acid; and 'wobble' base-pairing, i.e. permitting non-standard base-pairing at the 3rd anti-codon position. Lineage: Eukaryota; Metazoa; Chordata; Aves; Trogoniformes; Trogonidae. The record is from Rfam by way of RNAcentral.